RNAcentral lists this ribosomal RNA (253 nucleotides) under uncultured bacterium. Its description in RNAcentral is "partial 16S ribosomal RNA". It matches the Rfam family "Bacterial small subunit ribosomal RNA", at positions 524 to 776 of the family's 1533-position model. The record is from RNAcentral.
UACGUAGGGGGCGAGCGUUGUCCGGAAUUAUUGGGCGUAAAGAGCGUGUAGGCGGUUCGGUAAGUCUGCCGUGAAAACUUGGGGCUCAACCCCAAGCCUGCGGUCGAUACGGGCAGGCUCGAGUUCGGUAGGGGAGACUGGAAUUCCUGGUGUAGCGGUGAAAUGCGCAGAUAUCAGGAGGAACACCGAUGGCGAAGGCAGGUCUCUGGGCCGAUACUGACGCUGAGGAGCGAAAGCGUGGGGAGCGAACAGG